GCCUUGUGGUGUACAGCACAUGAAAUUGCAAAUUUUAAAGAGCAAAUAGACUCUGCCGGGGCUU
RNAcentral lists this transfer RNA (64 nucleotides) under Desmognathus quadramaculatus (black-bellied salamander). RNAcentral's name for it is "tRNA-Cys". Lineage: Eukaryota; Metazoa; Chordata; Amphibia; Caudata; Plethodontidae. The record is from RNAcentral.